Molecule: long non-coding RNA, 1015 nt
Organism: Herpailurus yagouaroundi (jaguarundi)
Lineage: Eukaryota; Metazoa; Chordata; Mammalia; Carnivora; Felidae
Exons: 2
Source: RefSeq, a predicted model, not a curated record
UUAGACUGUUUAAAAACUCUCCGCGGUGGUUGAAGUUGCAAUACCGGAGCCGUCUAUUAUCUUAGCCUAAAUAAAUGCAUACGUAUGCGGGUUAAUUUCCUCCUGGGAGUCAAAGGAAGACCAGGCAUUAAGCAUUCCUUAACGUCUGUUACUAUUAAGGAGAGACACUUUUAUCAGAGCCCAAACCUCCCGUCUGAUUGCACGGCGAUAACUUUGUGAGGGCCAAGCCUAAGAAGAACACUUUUGAGAAUCAUACCAAGGCACUAUUUGAUAAUGAAGUCAGAAGGGUAGGCGUGAACCCGGUCUCCUGCAGGCAGCCGGGGUGCGUGGCCCCCCAUUCACGCGGACACACGCUGUGCACCCAGCCAGAGCCCCUGGAUACAUGGCUUCAUCCUCGGAGCAGGACGUACUGUCCCGAUUUUACAGAUGAAGAAAUGGAGUCUGGCCCAGAGAAUUCACCUGUCCAUAUCCCCCCUGGAAAGUGGGUGGACGAGCCUCGAUUUUUAUGCAGGAGCUUUUGACUCCCGGAAUCCAAGAAGGGGAUUACUAUACGGACAUGAGGCUGAAAUGCUUGCCUUUAGGGUUGUUUAGUUGCCGAAAGGUAACCGAGCUGUCUGGCCUGCAGGAGGCGCUUCGAAAAAUAAGAACUAUUUUUACAGCGUGAAUAGUGAGGACUGCAGCCACCGUGAUCCUUUGGUUAAGCAAUCCUGGGAUCAGGCAGAAGUCACCACACUGCUUGUUCCAGGAAAUGCCUGCUCCUGGGAGAUAAGAUGAUGCCUCAGCUCUCACUUCCAAACCCCACCUCCCUGGCCCACCAUUCCAAUGCUCUUAUGUCAGAAACUCUGCCCAGUCCCCACCUGCUCCUUGCUGUGCAAGACCCACUUCAAAAUCUCCCAGCCAGGGCCCUAAAACCCUAUAAAUACCAUCCCUCAUUUUCUUAAUUUGAGACUCUGUGGAAGCCAGUGUUGUCCUUUACUGCAGGAGGUCCAAUAAACCCAGUUUUGCUUGAUCAACA